ACUCCUACGGGAGGCAGCAGUAAGGAAUAUUGCGCAAUGGGCGAAAGUCUGACGCAGCGACGCCGCGUGGGGGAUGAAGGUCUUCGGAUUGUAAACCCCUUUCGGGAGGGAAGAUGGAGUGGGUAACCACUUGGACGGUACCUCCAGAAGCAGCCACGGCUAACUUCGUGCCAGCAGCCGCGGUAAUACGAAGGUGGCAAGCGUUGUUCGGAUUCACUGGGCGUACAGGGAGCGUAGGCGGUUGGGUAAGCCCUCCGUGAAAUCUCCGGGCCUAACCCGGAAAGUGCAGAGGGGACUGCUCAGCUAGAGGAUGGGAGAGGAGCGCGGAAUUCCCG
Molecule: ribosomal RNA, 335 nt
Filed under: uncultured bacterium
Lineage: Bacteria
Description: bacterial SSU rRNA
Rfam family: Bacterial small subunit ribosomal RNA
Source: RNAcentral